This 440-nucleotide ribosomal RNA is filed under the name uncultured bacterium. RNAcentral's name for it is "partial 16S ribosomal RNA". It matches the Rfam family "Bacterial small subunit ribosomal RNA", at positions 338 to 795 of the family's 1533-position model. The record is from RNAcentral.
CCUACGGGAGGCAGCAGUGGGGAAUAUUGCACAAUGGGGGAAACCCUGAUGCAGCGACGCCGCGUGAGUGAAGAAGUAUUUCGGUACGUAAAGCUCUAUCAGCAGGGAAGAAAAUGACGGUACCUGACUAAGAAGCCCCGGCUAACUACGUGCCAGCAGCCGCGGUAAUACGUAGGGGGCAAGCGUUAUCCGGAUUUACUGGGUGUAAAGGGAGCGUAGACGGCAGCGCAAGUCUGGAGUGAAAUCCCAUGGCUUAACCAUGGAACUGCUUUGGAAACUGUGCAGCUAGAGUGCAGGAGAGGUAAGCGGAAUUCCUAGUGUAGCGGUGAAAUGCGUAGACAUUAGGAGGAACACCAGUGGCGAAGGCGGCUUACUGGACUGUAACUGACGUUGAGGCUCGAAAGCGUGGGGAGCAAACAGGAUUAGAUACCCGGGUAGUC